AGUGAACGCUGGCGGCAGGCCUAACACAUGCAAGUCGAACGGCAGCACAGUAAGAGCUUGCUCUUACGGGUGGCGAGUGGCGGACGGGUGAGGAAUACAUCGGAAUCUACUUUUUCGUGGGGGAUAACGUAGGGAAACGUACUCUAAUACCGCAUACGACGUACGGGGGAAAGCAGGGGAUCGUCUGACCUUGCGCGAUUGAAUGAGCCGAUGUCGGGUUAGCUAGUUGGCGGGGUAAAGGCCCACCAUGGCGACGAUCCGUAGCUGGUCUGGGAGGAUGAUCCGCCCUGGUCGGACUGGCAGACAGUCCAGACUCGUACUGGGGCCCGGAGUGGUGCGUUUUGGAAUGGGGGGGAGCCUGAUACAGCCCUACCGAGUCGGUUAAGAAGGCGUUCCGGUUGUAAAGCCCUUUUGUUGGUAGAGAAAAGCAGCCGGUUAAUACCCCGCGGUACUGACGGUACCCGGAGAAUAAGCACCGGCUAACUUCGUG
Molecule: ribosomal RNA, 490 nt
Filed under: uncultured bacterium
Lineage: Bacteria
Description: partial 16S ribosomal RNA
Rfam family: Bacterial small subunit ribosomal RNA
Source: RNAcentral